Molecule: long non-coding RNA, 1421 nt
Organism: Fundulus heteroclitus (mummichog)
Lineage: Eukaryota; Metazoa; Chordata; Actinopteri; Cyprinodontiformes; Fundulidae
Exons: 6
Source: RefSeq, a predicted model, not a curated record
AGGGUCACAAUCCUGUCACCCUCUGUGACAGAAAGGAGGUAAAACAGCAGUUUUCAUCAACAGCAGUUUUAUAUUUUAUUAUUUUAUGUAGGCAAAACUCCCUAAUUCCCUCCUCCCACUCUAACAAACUACCGUCUAAAUGCAGCUGGUGGUUUUAUAUGUAAAGUUUGUGGCACUUCAAUGCAAAAUUUGGAGAAACCGUAGGUGGUAUGAAAAUAGUGUCUUCAAUUUUAAAACAAUAUGAUGGAUUUCUCUAAAAACAGAAAGUUAAACUGUGUUUCUACAUGAAAGUAUGACAACAUAGUAAAGCCUCAAAAAUAGUGAAUUUUAAUUUCUAUGUCUUUAAUGGGGCAUAGAAUUGUAUUAUAUCUGUAAUUGUUGCUAUGGGAGGCCCCAACAAUUGUGUUUUUAAAAAUGUACACAAUUACACUUAAAAUGUUUAUUUUUGAACAGCAUUGCUAAGUUAUUAUUUUUAACUUGUUGCUACUUAUUUGUGAAAAGGCAACAUUAUCAAACUUAAAUAUCUGUUUUUACAACUUUUAAACAGAUAAGCCCUCAAAGUGAUGUAUGCUCUGGGAAUGGCGAAAGCUUAAGUCUUCAGAAGAGCCAGCAGACAGAAGCACCCUCUCCUUCUACCAUCACAACCAGCGAGGCUCCUAGAACUAGAAAAACCUCCUACUGGAAUUGUUGGCGUCUUCUUAACAAGAAAAAGCAGAGCCAUCUCCAACAAGAUGUGGACGGGGUCACAAUCCAUUCACCCUCAGUGACAGAAAUGAGUUAUUGCACAAGUGAGAAGUCUCAGGGAGGAGAGACUGGUGUUGAGUUCAGGGCCUCACCUGUUCUUGACAGUCCUGUCUCUGCUCACCAUGAGCCGCAUCUCCAAGCAGUCCAACAAUGCUCCACCACUAUACAAUGCACUGGUGAUUUUGGGGAUGUCGAAGAUGGAGGACUGGAUGGUUUUCCUGCAUCUUCCAGAGAAGGAGACUCCCACACUGGCCAGAACAGCAGAGUGGAAGAGACUGUCUUGUCCUCUACUGCCACAGCACAGAUCAUAAACAACCAAGAGGACUGCAAAGAAAGCGAGGCUGAUGUCCAAGACAACAUCCAACCUGCGUCUUAAAGUCAAGACAAGACUCCCAAGAAAGAAUGGUAUGAAAACUGUCUAGUCUGGAUUCAGGAUGUUUGAAUAGAAUCAUGCAUAUGCACUUACACACUUAGUAUUUUUUUUCUAUUUUUCUGUUGACAAUUUCUCUGUUUCAACACUCAAUAUAUAUUUGACCUCCCUUAACUAUCACAAAAUAGUCUGCUGCAGAAUUAAAAACUAGGUACUUGGCAUAUUAUGGUCUGCAUGUUUACGUAUUAAGAAUGUUGUGUAAUUACAGACGUCUGAAUGUAUUUGCGUUCUCUUUCCAGCCCUUGAA